UUUCUUUUCUUUCUCUCUUUUGUUUUCCCCUUUUUUUCUUUUGUUUUGAUUGUAUUGAUGUCAUUUGGUGAAAAAAGAGAGAGAGCGGAUGAGACUGACGUUCCUGAAGUUUGUUUUUUUGAUGAAAAUGAGCGAAAACGUGACGAGCGAGAAGGUGAAGUGUGUUUCUUUGAUUUUGUUGG
RNAcentral lists this non-coding RNA (182 nucleotides) under Sexangularia sp. CB-2014. The record is from RNAcentral. Lineage: Eukaryota; Tubulinea; Elardia; Arcellinida.